This 1110-nucleotide ribosomal RNA is filed under the name Neofabraea perennans. RNAcentral's name for it is "partial large subunit ribosomal RNA". It matches the Rfam family "Eukaryotic large subunit ribosomal RNA", at positions 48 to 1229 of the family's 3401-position model. Lineage: Eukaryota; Fungi; Ascomycota; Leotiomycetes; Helotiales; Dermateaceae. The record is from RNAcentral.
GCGUUGGGGAUAUGAUCGCUAGCUGAUCACGGGCUUACCUCAGCUCACGGCGCAGUGAAGCGGUAACAGCUCAAAUUUGAAAUCUGGGUCUUUCAGGCUCCGAGUUGUAAUUUGUAGAAGAUGCUUCGGGUGCGGCUCCGGUCUAAGUUCCUUGGAACAGGACGUCAUAGAGGGUGAGAAUCCCGUAUGUGAUCGGUUGCUUGCGCCCAUGUGAAGCUCUUUCGACGAGUCGAGUUGUUUGGGAAUGCAGCUCCAAAUGGGUGGUAUAUUUCAUCUAAAGCUAAAUAUUGGCCAGAGACCGAUAGCGCACAAGUAGAGUGAUCGAAAGAUGAAAAGCACUUUGGAAAGAGAGUUAAACAGUACGUGAAAUUGUUGAAAGGGAAGCGCUUGCAACCAGACUUGCGUGUCGUCGAUCAUCCGGGGUUCUCCCCGGUGCACUCGGCUUCACUCAGGCCAGCAUCGGUUUCGGUGGUUGGAUAAAGGCCUUGGGAAUGUAGCUCCUCUCGGGGAGUGUUAUAGCCCUCGGUGCAAUGCAGCCUACCGGGACCGAGGACCGCGCUUCGGCUAGGAUGCUGGCGUAAUGGUUGUAAGCGACCCGUCUUGAAACACGGACCAAGGAGUCUAACAUCUAUGCGAGUGUUUGGGUGUCAAACCCAUACGCGUAAUGAAAGUGAACGGAGGUGAGAACCCUUAAGGGUGCAUCAUCGACCGAUCCUGAUGUCUUCGGAUGGAUUUGAGUAAGAGCAUAGCUGUUGGGACCCGAAAGAUGGUGAACUAUGCCUGAAUAGGGUGAAGCCAGAGGAAACUCUGGUGGAGGCUCGCAGCGGUUCUGACGUGCAAAUCGAUCGUCAAAUUUGGGUAUAGGGGCGAAAGACUAAUCGAACCAUUAACCUCACUAGGUGGUUAAGAGGGUGCUGAAAAGGCAGCCCUAGUCCCCGUAGCCCGGGGCGACACUUUCAAAUUGUUUCGGGGACCACCCGCUAUAAAUUUCCAAGCUACCGCAGCCGGACGGAAACCGUCAGUCGCCACCAUGGUAUUGACGUCGGGAUGCUAACACGCUUGGCUAAGGAUCCAUCAGGCAGCCGAAAGGUUCCUUAACGGGUUGACCUC